This 606-nucleotide ribosomal RNA is filed under the name Triticum aestivum (bread wheat). Its description in RNAcentral is "partial small subunit ribosomal RNA". Lineage: Eukaryota; Viridiplantae; Streptophyta; Magnoliopsida; Poales; Poaceae. The record is from RNAcentral.
AUGCAUCGCCACAUCGGCCGCUGGACUGGAGGGCCAAGCCGCCAGAGAACUGAUUUCAGGUACAAAGAACGGAUGCGGGCUGACUGCCUUUCUCCUGCCAUUGUCCAGCAUGCCACCUCUGGAAGAAAUGAGGGGAAACAUGCAUUCCAAGAAUUCGAAUGGAAAUUCCACUUACGAAGAAAGGAAGCAACUGCUGUCCCAAUGCCCAGAUAUAUGAAGUUGAGAACAACCUGGAGAUCAAAAGAAUAUUCUCUGUUAACUCGUCUAGCCAAGCCACCCUUCAAGUUAAGUGAUCACCAUAAGCCGUUGUGGCACACCUUGGUGACAGCACGGAGGACAGUGCUGGUCGUGCUCUCGCCGAAGGAGUUGAUGACGUCUCCAAAGAGGACCGAGAUGAGGGGCUCGGACACGCCGUUGCCCACCGCCCCGAGCGAGCCGACCACCAUGAGCAGCAUGUCGAGGCGGUCGGCGUACCUGAACAUGCCGAGCAAUGGAACCUUCUUCUCCGGCCGGUCAUCUUUUCCGCCGUGGGCGUGGCGUGCUCCUUCUCCACUGCUAGCUUCCGCUGUCGCGUCCAUUUCCUGGCGGCUACUUGCUUUGUGCUGA